GAACUAGAUAAGGAGCAUCUUAAAAAAAGCCCUAGAAUCUACUGGAGGAUAAGAUAUAAAACCAGAUGUCUUCUAAAUCAACAGGACAAAGCUGAUGCCAGAAAGGCUUAACACCCAUCACAGUGAAGAACGCAUAAGUGCAAGGAGGGACCCAUAAAAACCACCAGUAUGUGAAAUACUGCCAGACGCUGUGUGGUUGCCAGAGAGAAAGCAUCACCAGACUGGAUUCUCAUGCUGCUUUCUGCAAAACUACUGUGCUGGAUAUUAAUUAAAAUACUUUGUGAAUACUUACAGUGUUC
RNAcentral lists this long non-coding RNA (299 nucleotides) under Chinchilla lanigera (long-tailed chinchilla). RNAcentral describes it as "lncRNA (ENSCLAG00000026161.1)". Lineage: Eukaryota; Metazoa; Chordata; Mammalia; Rodentia; Chinchillidae. The record is from RNAcentral.